RNAcentral lists this non-coding RNA (110 nucleotides) under Novosphingobium sp. RNAcentral's name for it is "Glycine sequence". It matches the Rfam family "Glycine riboswitch aptamer". From Rfam's summary of the family: This family represents the bacterial glycine riboswitch. Glycine riboswitches usually consist of two metabolite-binding aptamers domains with similar structures in tandem. The aptamers cooperatively bind glycine to regulate the expression of downstream genes. Lineage: Bacteria; Pseudomonadati; Pseudomonadota; Alphaproteobacteria; Sphingomonadales; Sphingomonadaceae. The record is from RNAcentral.
CUGACACGCGCGGGAGAGACCUUGCCGAUUCGCCUCAUGGGCAGAUGGGACAAGGCGCCGAAGGAGCAACCGCCCCGGAAUCUCUCAGGCAAAAGGACCGCGCGGCGUCG